This 497-nucleotide ribosomal RNA is filed under the name uncultured bacterium. Its description in RNAcentral is "partial 16S ribosomal RNA". It matches the Rfam family "Bacterial small subunit ribosomal RNA", at positions 28 to 507 of the family's 1533-position model. The record is from RNAcentral.
GAUGAACGCUGGCGGCGGGCCUAAUACAUGCAAGUCGAGCGAACAGAUGAGGAGCUUGCUCCUCUGACGUUAGCGGCGGACGGGUGAGUAACACGUGGAUGACCGACCUAUAAGACUGGGAUAACUUCGGGAAACCGGAUCUAAUACCCGAUAAGAUAUUGAACCGCAUGGUUCAAUGGUGAAAGACGUUUUUGCUGACACUUAGACAUGGAUCCACGUCGGAUUAGCUAGUUGGUAGGGUAAAGGCCUACCAAGGCGACUAUGCGUAACCGACCUGAGAGGAUGAUCAGUCACACUGGAACUGAGACACGGUCCAGACUCCUACGGGAGGCAGCAGUGGGGAAUAUUGGACAAUGGGCGAAAGCCUGAUCCAGCCAUGCCGCGUGUGUGAAGAAGGUCUUCGGAUUGUAAAACACUUUAAGUUGGGAGGAAGAGCAGUAAGUUAACACCUUGCUGUUUUGACGUUACCAACAGAAUAAGCACCGGCUAACUUCGUG